GAAUUAUUCACCCUUGUCUUUUGCGUACUUCUUGUUUCCUUGGUGGGUUCGCCCACCACUAGGACAAACAUAAACCUUUUGUAAUUGCAAUCAGCGUCAGUAACAAAUUAAUAAUUACAACUUUCAACAACGGAUCUCUUGGUUCUGGCAUCGAUGAAGAACGCAGCGAAAUGCGAUAAGUAGUGUGAAUUGCAGAAUUCAGUGAAUCAUCGAAUCUUUGAACGCACAUUGCGCCCUUUGGUAUUCCAAAGGGCAUGCCUGUUCGAGCGUCAUUUGUACCCUCAAGCUUUGCUUGGUGUUGGGCGUCUUGUCUCUAGCUUUGCUGGAGACUCGCCUUAAAGUAAUUGGCAGCCGGCCUACUGGUUUCGGAGCGCAGCACAAGUCGCACUCUCUAUCAGCAAAGGUCAAGCAUCCAUUAAGCCUUUUUUUUCAACUUUUGACCUCGGAUCAGGUAGGGAUACCCGCUGAACUUACGCAUAGUA
RNAcentral lists this ribosomal RNA (482 nucleotides) under Alternaria alternata. RNAcentral's name for it is "eukaryotic LSU rRNA". The stretch from base 119 to 272 matches the Rfam family "5.8S ribosomal RNA". The record is from RNAcentral. Lineage: Eukaryota; Fungi; Ascomycota; Dothideomycetes; Pleosporales; Pleosporaceae.